Molecule: ribosomal RNA, 482 nt
Filed under: uncultured bacterium
Lineage: Bacteria
Description: partial 16S ribosomal RNA
Rfam family: Bacterial small subunit ribosomal RNA
Source: RNAcentral
AUUGAACGCUGGCGGCAUGCCUUACACAUGCAAGUCGAACGGUAACAGGUCUUCGGAUGCUGACGAGUGGCGAACGGGUGAGUAAUACAUCGGAACGUGCCCGAUCGUGGGGGAUAACGGAGCGAAAGCUUUGCUAAUACCGCAUACGAUCUACGGAUGCAAGCCGGGGACCGCAAGGCCUUGCGCGGACGGAGCGGCCGAUGGCGGAUUAGGUAGUUGGUGGGAUAAAAGCUUACCAAGCCGACGAUCUGUAGCUGGUCUGAGAGGACGACCAGCCACACUGGGACUGAGACACGGCCCAGACUCCUACGGGAGGCAGCAGUGGGGAAUUUUGGACAAUGGGCGAAAGCCUGAUCCAGCCAUGCCGCGUGCAGGAUGAAGGCCUUCGGGUUGUAAACUGCUUUUGUACGGAACGAAAAGACUCUUUCUAAUAAAGAGGGUCCAUGACGGUACCGUAAGAAUAAGCACCGGCUAACUACGUG